UGAGUUUCUAAGUUGUACUUGCUUUGUGUAGGGAGAGAGAUGGGGAGGCCUAUUGGAUUAUUAGCGAUGAUGGCAGUGGCUGUCAUCAUGGUUGCGGUGUUCGCUGAAGCGCGGCUUCUUGAGAAAGAUAACUUCCUUGGCAGAGGCGGCUUAGGUGGAGGUGCUGGGGGCGGUGGCGGUCUUGGUGGUGGUGGUUUAGGAGCUGGUGGUGGACUUGGCGCUGGUGGAGGUGCCGGCGGAGGAGCCGGAGGUGGCUUAGGGGGUGGAUCUGGUGGAGGCCUAGGUGGUGGAGGUGGAGCAGGGGGAGGAACUGGCGGUGGUUUAGGAGGUGGAACUGGUGCAGGACUCGGAGGAGGUGGUGGUUUAGGAGGUGGAGCUGGCGGAGGUGCUGGCGGGGGUCUUGGUGCUGGGGCAGGAGGAGGAGUUGGAGCUGGCGGAGGUGCUGGUGGGGGUCUUGGUGGUGGGGCAGGUGGAGGAGUUGGAGCUGGCGGAGGUGCUGGUGGGGGUCUUGGUGGUGGGGCAGGUGGAGGAGUUGGAGCUGGCGGAGGUGCUGGUGGGGGUCUUGGUGGUGGGGCAGGU
RNAcentral lists this unclassified non-coding RNA (579 nucleotides) under Hevea brasiliensis (rubber tree). The record is from RNAcentral. Lineage: Eukaryota; Viridiplantae; Streptophyta; Magnoliopsida; Malpighiales; Euphorbiaceae.